ACCCCUGUGACAUACCACUUGUUGCCUCGGCGGAUCAGCCCGCUCCCGGUAAAACGGGACGGCCCGCCAGAGGACCCCUAAACUCUGUUUCUAUAUGUAACUUCUGAGUAAAACCAUAAAUAAAUCAAAACUUUCAACAACGGAUCUCUUGGUUCUGGCAUCGAUGAAGAACGCAGCAAAAUGCGAUAAGUAAUGUGAAUUGCAGAAUUCAGUGAAUCAUCGAAUCUUUGAACGCACAUUGCGCCCGCCAGUAUUCUGGCGGGCAUGCCUGUUCGAGCGUCAUUUCAACCCUCAAGCACAGCUUGGUGUUGGGACUCGCGUUAAUUCGCGUUCCUCAAAUUGAUUGGCGGUCACGUCGAGCUUCCAUAGCGUAGUAGUAAAACCCUCGUUACUGGUAAUCGUCGCGGCCACGCCGUUAAACCCCAACUUCUGAAUGUUGACCUCGGAUCAGGUAGGAAUACCCGCUGAACUUAAGCAU
Molecule: ribosomal RNA, 478 nt
Filed under: Fusarium oxysporum f. sp. lycopersici
Lineage: Eukaryota; Fungi; Ascomycota; Sordariomycetes; Hypocreales; Nectriaceae
Description: eukaryotic LSU rRNA
Rfam family: 5.8S ribosomal RNA (bases 129-282)
Source: RNAcentral